MicroRNA precursor from Medicago truncatula (barrel medic), 168 nucleotides. It matches the Rfam family "MIR2619 microRNA precursor family". NCBI's taxonomy places the organism in Eukaryota, Viridiplantae, Streptophyta, Magnoliopsida, Fabales, Fabaceae. The record is from Rfam.
AAACAGCCCCCUAUGUUUUGAUUCUUUGGCAGUUUUGGACCCUUAAGGCAAAAAAAAAAAAAAUUUGACACGUGGCACCUCACUUAGGGUGCCACGUCAGCAUUGAUCGAGUCAACAAUGGAUUGAGGGUUCAAAACUGCCAAAGAAUCAAAACAUAGGGGGCUGUUU